UUGGUGCUUGAACAUACAGGGGAUUUAGUUUCACAAAGAUGGAAAUGAAGAAAAAACUAUGGGAAUAGUAGUGGCUGUGAAAGAAUAUAGAAAGCCAAAAUGAGAUAACGAUUAAAAAACAAAGAUUAACAAUAAUAAAGGAAAGGUCUUUGAGAAAAAAAAAACAUUGAAAUACGAUUCAAAAUCGAUUAAAAGUGGAAACCAUGGUUACUAAAAAACAAAAUCACUCCAUUCACGAUUUAAACCUCAAAAACCCUACAAUGAAAAAUCCAAUGCGUAAAAAAAAUGAAAAAUGAAAAGAUCUUACCUCAGUUCUUGAACAUACAGGGGAUUUAGUUUCAGAAAGAUGGAAAUGAAAAAAAAACUAUGUGAAGCGGAGGGUGUGAAAGAAAAUAGAAAGGCAAAAUGAAAUGAGAAACAAACAAAAUGAGUGACAAAGAGCAGAGAGAGAUAAAGCAAAAAAAAAGGUGCGUCGGAAGAAAUG
Molecule: long non-coding RNA, 484 nt
Filed under: Phaseolus vulgaris (common bean)
Lineage: Eukaryota; Viridiplantae; Streptophyta; Magnoliopsida; Fabales; Fabaceae
Description: long non-coding RNA (PVUL_LNC001650)
Source: RNAcentral